Molecule: long non-coding RNA, 635 nt
Organism: Gossypium raimondii (Peruvian cotton)
Lineage: Eukaryota; Viridiplantae; Streptophyta; Magnoliopsida; Malvales; Malvaceae
Exons: 2
Source: RefSeq, a predicted model, not a curated record
AAGAGUCAUCGAAAUUAAUUUUGACAGUAAAACCAUCUGGUGGGCACCAACCCACACAUUCAUGCCUCAUGAUCACCCAUAAAGAGCAGCAAAAUACUCAACAUUGAAUUUUGGAACUGUUCUUCAACACCCAGGUAAGCCACGCCCAGUGUGACAAAAUUAAAUUUGUUAAUACCCAAUCCAAAUUCAAGCUAAUCCAAAUUUCUUGUGUCACUGGGCAUUCUCUGAAGAUAUGGUCAAUGUUUUCAGCAGCUACACUACAUCUAGGACAGACUACCAUCAAGAGCAAUCUCUUGCACUGAAGAUUAACAAAAUGAGGAAUAAAAUUCCAUGAAAUUUUCCAAAUUAGGAUUUUUGUUUUCCCUGGAAUGUGAAUAUUCCAUAAUUUUUUGGUAAAAUAAAUUAGCCUUGGUCUGUAAAUAAUUAGGAAUAAAGGUAAUAGUUUAUAAGCACUUCUCACUGAAAAUUCUCCCGAGGCCUCCCCCUUCCAUGCCAUGAAGUCCUCAUGAAGUUCCAUUACUAAAGGAAUUCGCACAACUUUGUCUGUUUCUUAUCUAGAGAAGGUAAAAUAAAUCAAAUCAGACUUCCAUUCUCUCUUCUGUUCAUCAAUAAACUCUGCCACUUUACUUAGUUCA